RNAcentral lists this ribosomal RNA (207 nucleotides) under uncultured bacterium. Its description in RNAcentral is "partial 16S ribosomal RNA". It matches the Rfam family "Bacterial small subunit ribosomal RNA", at positions 524 to 732 of the family's 1533-position model. The record is from RNAcentral.
UACAGAGGGUGCAAGCGUUAAUCGGAAUUACUGGGCGUAAAGCGUGCGUAGACGGUCAUGUAAGUCGGGUGUGAAAGCCCGGGCUCAACCUGGGAAUUGCAUUCGAGACUGCAUGGCUAGGAUGCGGAAGAGGGAAGCGGAAUUCCGGUGUAGCGGUGAAAUGCGUAGAUAUCGGAAGGAACACCAGUGGCGAAAGCGGCUUCCUGG